UAACACGUGAGCAACCUGCCUUUCAGAGGGGGAUAACAGUUGGAAACGACUGCUAAUACCGCAUAACGCUGCGAUGGGGCAUCCCGAUGCAGCCAAAGGAGCAAUCCGCUGAAAGAUGGGCUCGCGGCCGAUUAGCUAGUUGGUGGGGCAACGGCCCACCAAGGCGACGAUCGGUAGCCGGACUGAGAGGUUGAUCGGCCACAUUGGGACUGAGACACGGCCCAAACUCCUACGGGAGGCAGCAG
Molecule: ribosomal RNA, 245 nt
Filed under: uncultured bacterium
Lineage: Bacteria
Description: partial 16S ribosomal RNA
Rfam family: Bacterial small subunit ribosomal RNA
Source: RNAcentral